GGGGAAUCUUCCGCAAUGGGCGAAAGCCUGACGGAGCAAGACCGCGUGGGGGAGGAAGGUUCUUGGAUUGUAAACCCCUUUUCUCAGGGAAGAACAAAAUGACGGUACCUGAGGAAUCAGCAUCGGCUAACUCCGUGCCAGCAGCCGCGGUAAUACGGAGGAUGCAAGCGUUAUCCGGAAUAAUUGGGCGUAAAGCGUCCGUAGGUGGCUGUUCAAGUCUGUCGUUAAAGACCGGGGCUUAACCCUGGAAAGGCGGUGGAAACUGAACGGCUAGAGUGCAGUAGGGGUAGAGGGAAUUCCCAGUGUAGCGGUGAAAUGCGUAGAGAUUGGGAAGAACACCGGUGGCGAAAGCGCUCUGCUGGACUGCAACUGACACUGAGGGACGAAAGCUAGGGGAGCGAAUGGGAUUAGAUACCCCUG
Molecule: ribosomal RNA, 420 nt
Filed under: uncultured Microcoleus sp.
Lineage: Bacteria; Bacillati; Cyanobacteriota; Cyanophyceae; Oscillatoriales; Microcoleaceae
Description: bacterial SSU rRNA
Rfam family: Bacterial small subunit ribosomal RNA
Source: RNAcentral